GCGGAGGGAUCUUACUGAGUUACCGCUCUAUAACCCUUUGUGAACAUACCUACAACUGUUGCUUCGGCGGGUAGGCCGUCCCCUGAAAAGGACGCCUCCCGGCCCGGACCGGACCCCCCGCGGGACCGGACCCGGCGCCCGCCGGAGGAUAACCAAACUCUAUUGUAACGACGUUUCUUCUGAGUGGCAUAAGCAAAAUAAUCAAAACUUUUAACAACGGAUCUCUUGGUUCUGGCAUCGAUGAAGAACGCAGCGAAAUGCGAUAAGUAAUGUGAAUUGCAGAAUUCAGUGAAUCAUCGAAUCUUUGAACGCACAUUGCGCCCGCCAGCAUUCUGGCGGGCAUGCCUGUUCGAGCGUCAUUUCAACCCUCAAGCUCUGCUUGGUGUUGGGGCUCUACGGUCGACGUAGGCCCUCAAAGGUAGUGGCGGACCCUCCCGGAGCCUCCUUUGCGUAGUAACAUUUCGUCUCGCACUGGGAUCCGGAGGGACUCUUGCCGUAAAAACCCCCAAUUUUCCAAAGGUUGACCUCGGAUCAGGUAGGAAUACCCGCUGAACUUAAGCAUAUC
This 565-nucleotide small RNA is filed under the name Colletotrichum boninense. RNAcentral describes it as "eukaryotic LSU rRNA". The stretch from base 206 to 359 matches the Rfam family "5.8S ribosomal RNA". Lineage: Eukaryota; Fungi; Ascomycota; Sordariomycetes; Glomerellales; Glomerellaceae. The record is from RNAcentral.